CCAGUGUGUGAGCUGGCUGUGGCGGGGCUCUCCCGACGAUGAUAAAAUGUCCUUGCAGGAAAGGACCACCUCAUAUCUCCUAGGGUCUCAGCCUCCUCUGUCUAUGCCCCCCUGAGAUAAUAAUGUUGGUAUUCGUUCAGCGCUUACUAUAUGCAGAGCACCGUUCUAAGCGCUGGAGUAGAUAGAUACAGGGUAAUCGGGUUGUCCCACGUCAGGCUCACAGUUAAUCCCCAUUUUCCAGAUGAGGGAACUGAGGCCCAGAGAAGUGAAGCGACUCGCCCACAGUCACUCAGCUGACAAGCGGCAGAGCCGGGAGUCGAACUCAUGACCUCUGACUCCGAAGCCCGGGCUCUUUCCACGGAGCCACGCUGCCUCCCCACGCUGAGAUGACACAACUCGCUCUUGGACAUGGCUCCCCGCCAUCCUAUUGGGCACCCGGUACUUGGUACUGGUUGCGAGCGGCGCUCUGGGCACGGCUCUUUCUGGCCCAGGGCUCUGUGCCAUAACCAGAACCCCGCUCAGGACAGAGGGACAGGAAGCCUCCGUCCUCAUCCGUCCGGUUGCUUUAAUGUCGAUGAAAGGAAAUGGCAGUGGAGACUCAGGCAGUGAGAGGGGCCAAGGCCUUGAGACAAAGGAAAAUACUUCCAAGAGCCUCGCCGGGUUAGAGGAUCACUCCGGUGAGGUCGGCUUGCUUACCUUUGCCCGCUUGGGGUUGGCGGGCUCCGGCGUAUUCAGAGGCUUGGGCAGGGACUGCCUGACGGGGUCUCAAGCUCUCCUCCGCUGUGCCAACAGGCGCCAACGCAAGAGGCAGGUCACCGCGGGGCCCCAGGGAAGACGGUUCACUCCCUCAUGGCAUCACACCACCCGGCACAGCACAGGCACCGACGGAGGAGCACGGGACAAGCAAGUGGCCAGCUUUUCACUGAGAGCGUGGGGGCGAGAAGGGACGACUACGUGUAAGAGAACACACCCCGUCUGGUUGCCUGGAACCGAGGCCCUGUGCCCCACUUGGAUCCAGGACUCUUCAAACCCGGCUCAGCUUCGUCCAGGUUGUUUGAGAAGAGCAGCGGUGACCUUGCUCAUCUGCUCCUCCCUGCCUUUUAUCUCUCUCCUAGUCUCUAAGCUCCACCACUGCUUGCUCAGUCUGGAGGUGCCCGGACAGGACAGCGGCACUACAACCUGUUUGGAGAACACUGUCCUCUCAACCUUUCCCCAGAAUCCAAAGCCCCAGUUAUGCUUUCUAAAUUUCUAUAUUCCAAUGAAAAUCGAAGCUCUCUUUUUCCAGGAAACAGAAGUUUAA
RNAcentral lists this long non-coding RNA (1300 nucleotides) under Ornithorhynchus anatinus (platypus). Its description in RNAcentral is "lncRNA (ENSOANG00000038033.1)". The record is from RNAcentral. Lineage: Eukaryota; Metazoa; Chordata; Mammalia; Monotremata; Ornithorhynchidae.